Molecule: small nuclear RNA, 103 nt
Filed under: Tursiops truncatus (common bottlenose dolphin)
Lineage: Eukaryota; Metazoa; Chordata; Mammalia; Artiodactyla; Delphinidae
Source: RNAcentral
GUGCUCACUUUGACAGUGCAUAUACUAAAUUAGAAUGAUACAAAGAUUAGCAUGGUCCCUGCACAAAGAUGACACUCAGAUUCUUGAAGUGUUUUUUUUUUAU